RNAcentral lists this ribosomal RNA (460 nucleotides) under uncultured bacterium. Its description in RNAcentral is "partial 16S ribosomal RNA". It matches the Rfam family "Bacterial small subunit ribosomal RNA", at positions 338 to 795 of the family's 1533-position model. The record is from RNAcentral.
CCUACGGGUGGCAGCAGUGAGGAAUAUUGGUCAAUGGACGAGAGUCUGAACCAGCCAAGUAGCGUGAAGGAUGACUGCCCUAUGGGUUGUAAACUUCUUUUAUAAAGGAAUAAAACGAGGCACGUGUGCCUUUUUGCAUGUACUUUAUGAAUAAGGAUCGGCUAACUCCGUGCCAGCAGCCGCGGUAAUACGGAGGAUCCGAGCGUUAUCCGGAUUUAUUGGGUUUAAAGGGAGCGUAGAUGGGUUGUUAAGUCAGUUGUGAAAGUUUGCGGCUCAAACGUAAAAUUGCAAUUGAUACUGGCAGUCGUGAGUACAGUUGAGGUAAGCGGAAUUCGUGGUGUAGCGGUGAAAUGCUUAGAUAUCACGAAGAACCCCGAUUGCGAAGGCAGCUUACUAAGCUGUGACUGACAUUGAUGCUCGAAAGUGUGGGUAUCAAACAGGAUUAGAUACCCCAGUAGUC